UGCAGAAUCCCGUGAACCAUCGAGUCUUUGAACGCAAGUUGCGCCCGAGGCUUCGGUCGAGGGCACGCCUGCCUGAGCGUCAUGCAUCGCGUCGCUCCCCCCAAUCCCUUCAAGGGGAGGUAGGGGGAUGCGGAGGCUGGUCGCCCGUUUCGUCCCCUCGACGGAGCGGCCGACUGAAAUGAAGUUGGGGCACCCGGCAUCCCGCGGCCCGACGAUUGUUGGACCCUCGAACCCGUUGUACAAUUGACGGCGUCGAGGCGCGCGUGCAUCCGUGUGUUGUCCCCUUGUUGGAUGGACCCUCCCUCUUGAUCGGGGCUCAUGAGUCCCGUAUCGAGACCGCGACCUCAGGUCAGACGGGACUACCCGCUGAGUUUAAGCAUAUCAAUAAGCGGAGGAAAAGAAACUUACGAGGAUUCCCUUAGUAACGGCGAGCGAACCGGGAACAGCCCAGCUUGAAAAUCGGAUGGUCCUGCCACCCGA
RNAcentral lists this ribosomal RNA (480 nucleotides) under Ceratophyllum submersum. RNAcentral's name for it is "eukaryotic LSU rRNA". The stretch from base 340 to 480 matches the Rfam family "Eukaryotic large subunit ribosomal RNA", at positions 1 to 141 of the family's 3401-position model. The record is from RNAcentral. Lineage: Eukaryota; Viridiplantae; Streptophyta; Magnoliopsida; Ceratophyllales; Ceratophyllaceae.